UUUAUAUUCUGAACACUAUUUGGGAUGAGUACUUCGAGUCGUACUAUUAUUUGUUCUAUAGUCCAUUUGCUAUCUGUCUUGCUCUCUCGUAUAUAAAUGAAAUCACCGUUACCGAAAUAAUUAGUAUAUAUGGGAUUUUUUUAAUUAUUAUUUUCGUGUAUUCAAUUGAGCGUUUGCGACAAAAUCUUAAAACUAUUGAAAUUGUGAAUAUUAUUCCUAUCCAUGUUGAAAUUAUGACUCUUGUUUGGUCCCCCUCUUGGAAGGAAAUUGGGAAAAUGAGAGGCGAGUACAUAAGCGUUCGAUUAGGAAUGCUAAGAAAAUUAUAUAUUAUCGGUAAAAGAAACAAAAGAUCCAGGUAAUAUUUUUGUAUUUUUAGUAAAGAAUCAGUAAAUGCCAUUGUAAAACCAGUAAAAUAGUAAACAAGGAAAAGAAAAAAUGUAUUGAAGAAUACAGCUCCAUUGUUGAAAGCUGAGUUAGGAAUUCCAGAAGUCAAGUAUUUGUAAAGUGAUAUAUAUAUAAUAUUCAUGAAAAUGCAAAUUCCACUUAUACUUAUUUCUUUUUGAAUAAAUUUUAGUGAGUAGAUCAAGAAUAUACUCGAAUAAAAUAAAGUAUAUAAAAUAUAUAGAUUGGCACUAUAUGAAAAAUAAAAGAAAAUAUUAAUUAUUAAAAAGUAUAUUAUUACGUUAGAAAUUAUAUAUGGAAGGU
RNAcentral lists this non-coding RNA (705 nucleotides) under Cryptosporidium parvum. The record is from RNAcentral. Lineage: Eukaryota; Apicomplexa; Conoidasida; Eucoccidiorida; Cryptosporidiidae.